Molecule: ribosomal RNA, 208 nt
Filed under: uncultured bacterium
Lineage: Bacteria
Description: partial 16S ribosomal RNA
Rfam family: Bacterial small subunit ribosomal RNA
Source: RNAcentral
CGCGUAGGCGGCCUCCGCAAGUCAAUUGUGAAAUCUCCGGGCUUAACUCGGAAAGGUCAACUGAUACUGCGGGGCUAGAGUGCGGAAGGGGCAACUGGAAUUCUUGGUGUAGCGGUGAAAUGCGUAGAUAUCAAGAGGAACACCUGCGGCGAAGGCGGGUUGCUGGGCCGACACUGACGCUGAGGCGCGAAAGCUAGGGGAGCGAACG